Molecule: ribosomal RNA, 252 nt
Filed under: uncultured bacterium
Lineage: Bacteria
Description: partial 16S ribosomal RNA
Rfam family: Bacterial small subunit ribosomal RNA
Source: RNAcentral
UACGGGGGGGCAAGCGUUGUUCGGAAUUACUGGGCGUAAAGGGCUCGUAGGGGGCCAACUAAGUCAGACGUGAAAUCCCUCGGCUUAACCGGGGAACUGCGUCUGAUACUGGAUGGCUUGAGUUUGGGAGAGGGAUGCGGAAUUCCAGGUGUAGCGGUGAAAUGCGUAGAUAUCUGGAGGAACACCGGUGGCGAAGGCGGCAUCCUGGACCAACACUGACACUGAGGAGCGAAAGCCAGGGGAGCAAACGGG